CGGGGGUUGGUUUAAUGGUAGAAUCUACGGUUCGGGACCGUAGGAAGAGAGUUCGAUUCUCUCACCCCCGA
This 71-nucleotide transfer RNA is filed under the name bacterium. RNAcentral's name for it is "tRNA-Pro". It matches the Rfam family "tRNA". From Rfam's summary of the family: Transfer RNA (tRNA) molecules are approximately 80 nucleotides in length. Their secondary structure includes four short double-helical elements and three loops (D, anti-codon, and T loops). Further hydrogen bonds mediate the characteristic L-shaped molecular structure. tRNAs have two regions of fundamental functional importance: the anti-codon, which is responsible for specific mRNA codon recognition, and the 3' end, to which the tRNAs corresponding amino acid is attached (by aminoacyl-tRNA synthetases). tRNAs cope with the degeneracy of the genetic code in two manners: having more than one tRNA (with a specific anti-codon) for a particular amino acid; and 'wobble' base-pairing, i.e. permitting non-standard base-pairing at the 3rd anti-codon position. The record is from RNAcentral.